Molecule: ribosomal RNA, 520 nt
Filed under: uncultured Glomus
Lineage: Eukaryota; Fungi; Glomeromycota; Glomeromycetes; Glomerales; Glomeraceae
Description: SSU rRNA
Rfam family: Eukaryotic small subunit ribosomal RNA
Source: RNAcentral
AGCAGCCGCGGUAAUUCCAGCUCCAAUAGCGUAUAUUAAAGUUGUUGCAGUUAAAAAGCUCGUAGUUGAAUUUCGAGACUGGUUUAUUGGUCGUGCUUUUGUACGUACUGGUAUUAUUGGUUUCUCCUUUCUGACGAAUCAUAAUGCCAUUAAUUUGGUGUUUUGGGGAAUCAGGACUGUUACUUUGAAAAAAUUAGAGUGUUUAAAGCAGGCUCACGCUUGAAUACAUUAGCAUGGAAUAACGGAAUAGGACGUUUGAUUCUAUUUUGUUGGUUUCUAGGAUCGACGUAAUGAUUAAUAGGGAUAGUUGGGGGCAUUAGUAUUCAAUUGUCAGAGGUGAAAUUCUUGGAUUUAUUGAAGACUAACUACUGCGAAAGCAUUUGCCAAGGAUGUUUUCAUUAAUCAAGAACGAAAGUUAGGGGAUCGAAGACGAUCAGAUACCGUCGUAGUCUUAACUAUAAACUAUGCCGACUAGGGAUCGGAUGAUGUUAAUUUUAAUGACUCAUUCGGCGCCUUACGG